GGACGAAUACGGUGUAUGAGUCACAAACGAUUGAAGCCCACCACGGUGGAAAGCCUACGAAGAGAUGUUCAAAACAUCUCUCGCUUAUCAACUUAAUAUUCGUUUGUUGAGGGAGUAGUUUUAGGCUACAUCAAAAUCAUUUUAAUCUUAUUAAAAGAACAUGGGCCUAUCACAACUAUUGGUCCAAGUUAAUAUGAAUUUAGUAGUUUAUAAUACUCCCACUAUUUCGAAGAAAUAAGUGAGACUAUAUGGAACUACUAACGAAUGCAUUGCAUCCUCAUAUGGACUAUAUAGUCAUAUUAGGUUUUAGGAUGAUUAUGAACCGAUUAAUUUGAUCCAACUCGAGCCUUGUGUUGGACCUUGGGUUUAAGGUAGAUAGUUGUUGAUUUUAGUUACACGUUUAAUCCAAUUAAACCGUUAUUUCCUAUUGGGCGUUCGACCCAACUAUUCCAUUUUGCAUACAUAUAAACAAAAAGGAAUACAUGAAAUAAUAAGAAGGGCUUAUGCCCUUUUACAACACAAAUGAUGGACUUAUGUCCAUUUACAACAAAUUGAAUUAAUCAAAUUACAUUCAAAUCUACACUACUAAACCCAAACAUUCAUAAUGCAAAUCGACCAAUCACAUAGCUCAAUUAUCGAGGCCUUUGGUUCAUAAUCACCAUUUUCUUAAUCAAUCACAUUAACUAAGAAAACAACUUUAAACAAUUGGUUUUUGGAUCCAUAGAAUUGAUU
RNAcentral lists this long non-coding RNA (732 nucleotides) under Malus domestica (apple). RNAcentral describes it as "long non-coding RNA (MDOM_LNC005746)". The record is from RNAcentral. Lineage: Eukaryota; Viridiplantae; Streptophyta; Magnoliopsida; Rosales; Rosaceae.